UACGUAGGGGGCAAGCGUUGUCCGGAAUCAUUGGGCGUAAAGCGCGUGUAGGCGGUCCGGUAAGUCCGCUGUGAAAGUCGGGGGCUCAACCCUCGGAUGCCGGUGGAUACUGUCGGGCUUGAGUACGGAAGAGGCGAGUGGAAUUCCUGGUGUAGCGGUGAAAUGCGCAGAUAUCAGGAGGAACACCGGUGGCGAAGGCGGGUCUCUGGGCCGAAAUUGACGCUGAGGAGCGAAAGCGUGGGGAGCAAACAGG
Molecule: ribosomal RNA, 253 nt
Filed under: uncultured bacterium
Lineage: Bacteria
Description: partial 16S ribosomal RNA
Rfam family: Bacterial small subunit ribosomal RNA
Source: RNAcentral